CUGAGUUCGGGGGCAAUCCCAGUCCCGACCUCCAACCCUUUGUGAACUUAUCUUGUUGCUUCGGGGGCGACCCUGCCGUUCGCGGCAUUCCCCCCGGAGGCCUUCCAACACUGCAUCUCUGCGUCGGAGUUUAAGUAAAUUAAACA
RNAcentral lists this unclassified non-coding RNA (146 nucleotides) under uncultured Mycosphaerellaceae. The record is from RNAcentral. Lineage: Eukaryota; Fungi; Ascomycota; Dothideomycetes; Mycosphaerellales; Mycosphaerellaceae.